UUGGAAAUGAAACUUCUGAGAUCUUCUUCCCAUUGGCAAAGAUCCUACUGAGGUACACACCAGCGUGGAGUCUGUGUUCAAGGGAGGCCUGUGACACAUUGUGGCUUCAGGGGAAGGGACUCUUGAGUUCCACAGACUACACUGAAGUCUUGCCCUACUUGAUCUUUGAGUGAAGGCCUCUGCUCUCCAUGUAUCUACUGCAGAAGUGUCUCUGGUUGGAGGUAAAGUUCUGUCCUCCCAGCACUGCUAAAGCACAGCUUGUCCCCCAUUCUUAAUAGCCCUAAGGUCUGGCUGUGAACCCAUUACAUCCCCAAAUCGGAAAAUGAAAUCAUUUGGAGCCUGGUCUUUGGCAAUUUCUGCUGGCCAGCUUAGGCUCUGACUUGGGUUGCUGUUUCCCCUCCUGGAUCUCUGCUUGGUGCCAUCGGUUGGAAUCCCAUUGCCGAUGUCUUGCCUUGGCCUAUUCUCUGUUCUGGGCCUUUCUUUGGAAUGACUCUCCAGGAUCUCAAAAUGUUUUCAUGUAUGGAUGAAUGCAGAUUCACAGACUUCUCGAGGGAUGGAAGUG
This is a long non-coding RNA of Choloepus didactylus (southern two-toed sloth), 562 nucleotides long. RefSeq lists it as uncharacterized. The record is from RefSeq and is a predicted model, not a curated record. NCBI's taxonomy places the organism in Eukaryota, Metazoa, Chordata, Mammalia, Pilosa, Megalonychidae. The transcript is spliced from 4 exons.